GAUGAACGCUAGCGGCAGGCCUAACACAUGCAAGUCGAGGGGUAGAGGUUGCUUGCAACCUUGAGACCGGCGCACGGGUGCGUAACGCGUAUGCAAUCUGCCUUGUACCGAGGGAUAGCCCAGAGAAAUUUGGAUUAAUACCUCAUAGUAUCUUUUCCCGGCAUCGGGAGAUUAUUAAAGUUCCAACGGUACAAGAUGAGCAUGCGUCCCAUUAGCUAGUUGGUAUGGUAACGGCAUACCAAGGCAAUGAUGGGUAGGGGUCCUGAGAGGGAGAUCCCCCACACUGGUACUGAGAAACGGACCAGACUCCUACGGGAGGCAGCAGUGAGGAAUAUUGGUCAAUGGGCGCAAGCCUGAACCAGCCAUGCCGCGUGCAGGAUGAAGCAUCUAUGGUGUGUAAACUGCUUUUAUACGGGAAGAAACACCGGUUCGUGAACCGGCUUGACGGUACCGUAAGAAUAAGGAUCGGCUAACUCCGUGCCAGCCGCCGCGGUAA
RNAcentral lists this ribosomal RNA (496 nucleotides) under uncultured bacterium. RNAcentral describes it as "partial 16S ribosomal RNA". It matches the Rfam family "Bacterial small subunit ribosomal RNA", at positions 28 to 523 of the family's 1533-position model. The record is from RNAcentral.